This is a long non-coding RNA of Ficedula albicollis (Collared flycatcher), 215 nucleotides long. RefSeq lists it as uncharacterized. The transcript is spliced from 3 exons. The record is from RefSeq and is a predicted model, not a curated record. Lineage: Eukaryota; Metazoa; Chordata; Aves; Passeriformes; Muscicapidae.
AAAACCUUCAGGGUGGAGACUCCAUCACCAUCUCUGGGCUCCUGUUCCUGUGCUGAGCUGUCCUCUUGGAGCAGCAACUCUUCUUUGUAUCUAGUCACAGUUCUGAUUGUUGCAGCUUGUGGCUUGCCUCUUGCCGUGUCACUGUGCCAUUUGGAGAAGAAUCUGACUCCACCUUGCCUAUAAAAUCAGCAGUUCGUGCAGUCUGACUGUCCUAA